CACGUAGUUAGCCGGUCCUUAUUCCUCAGGUACCGUCAGAACUUCUUCCCUGAGAAAAGUGGUUUACACCCCGAAAGGCGUCAUCCCACACGCGGCGUUGCUCCGUCAGGCUUUCGCCCAUUGCGGAAGAUUCCUUGCUGCUGCCUCCCGUAGGAGUCGGGGCCGUGUCUCAGUCCCCGUGUGGCUGGCCGUCCUCUCAGACCAGCUACCGAUCAUCGCCACGGUAGGCCGUUACCCCACCGUCUAGCUAAUCGGCCGCAGGCCCCUCCCAAGGCGAGUCCGAAGACCCUUUCCUCACUCACCCUCCGGUCAGUGAGCGUAUGCGGAAUUACCCGGUGUUUCCACCGGCUAUCCCCCACCUCAGGGCAGGUUGCCCACGUGUUCCGCACCCGUCCGCCGCGUAAAGUGAUCCGAAGAUCACCCCGCUCGACUUGCAUGCAUUAGGCACGCCGCCAGCGUGAUCCUGAGCACGAGCAAACUACU
RNAcentral lists this ribosomal RNA (483 nucleotides) under uncultured bacterium. RNAcentral describes it as "partial 16S ribosomal RNA". The record is from RNAcentral.